CCUACGGGUGGCAGCAGUGAGGAAUAUUGGUCAAUGGCCGGGAGGCUGAACCAGCCAAGUCGCGUGAGGGAAGACUGCCCUACGGGUUGUAAACCUCUUUUGUCUGGGAGCAAAGUGCAGGUCGGGACGUGCUGUGAGAGUACCUUAAGAAAAAGCAUCGGCUAACUCCGUGCCAGCAGCCGCGGUAAUACGGAGGAUGCGAGCGUUUUCCGGAUUUAUUUGGUUUAAAGGGUGCGUAGGUGGAGGCAGAAGUCAGUGGUUAAAGUCAGGGGCUCAACCCUGCACCGGCAGUUGAACCGGGGUCCAUUGAGUGCAGGAGAGGUAGGCGGAAUGCGUGGUGUAGCGGUGAAAUGCAUAGAUAUCACGAAGAACUCCGAUUGCGAAGGCAGCCCACUGGAGCGCAACUGACGCUGAUGCACGAAAGUGUGGGUAUCGAACAGGAUUAGAUACCCCUGUAGUC
This 460-nucleotide ribosomal RNA is filed under the name uncultured bacterium. Its description in RNAcentral is "partial 16S ribosomal RNA". It matches the Rfam family "Bacterial small subunit ribosomal RNA", at positions 338 to 795 of the family's 1533-position model. The record is from RNAcentral.